ACGGCAGCACGGAGCUUGCUCUGGUGGCGAGUGGCGAACGGGUGAGUAAUAUAUCGGAACGUACCCUGGAGUGGGGGAUAACGUAGCGAAAGUUACGCUAAUACCGCAUACGAUCUACGGAUGAAAGUGGGGGAUCGCAAGACCUCAUGCUCGUGGAGCGGCCGAUAUCUGAUUAGCUAGUUGGCGGGGUAAAAGCCCACCAAGGCAUCGAUUAGUAGCUGGUCUGAGAGGACGACCAGCUACACUGGAACUGAGACACGGUCCAGACUCCUACGGGAGGCAGCAGUGGGGAAUUUUGGACAAUGGGCGCAAGCCUGAUCCAGCAAUGCCGCGUGAGUGAAGAAGGCCUUCGGGUUGUAAAGCUCUUUUGUCAGGGAAGAAACGGUGUUCUCUAAUACAGAAUGCUAAUGACGGUACCUGAAGAAUAAGCACCGGCUAACUACGUGCCAGCAGCCGCGGUAAU
RNAcentral lists this ribosomal RNA (463 nucleotides) under uncultured bacterium. Its description in RNAcentral is "bacterial SSU rRNA". It matches the Rfam family "Bacterial small subunit ribosomal RNA", at positions 66 to 524 of the family's 1533-position model. The record is from RNAcentral.